RNAcentral lists this ribosomal RNA (120 nucleotides) under Penicillium capsulatum. Lineage: Eukaryota; Fungi; Ascomycota; Eurotiomycetes; Eurotiales; Aspergillaceae. The record is from RNAcentral.
ACAUACGACCAUAGGGUGUGGAAAACAGGGCUUCCCGUCCGCUCAGCCGUACUUAAGCCACACGCCGGUGAGUUAGUAGUUAGGUGGGUGACCACUAGCGAAUCCUCACUGUUGUAUGUU